This 571-nucleotide ribosomal RNA is filed under the name uncultured Glomeromycotina. Its description in RNAcentral is "SSU rRNA". It matches the Rfam family "Eukaryotic small subunit ribosomal RNA", at positions 548 to 1114 of the family's 1831-position model. The record is from RNAcentral. Lineage: Eukaryota; Fungi; Glomeromycota.
UUGGAGGGCAAGUCUGGUGCCAGCAGCCGCGGUAAUUCCAGCUCCAAUAGCGUAUAUUAAAGUUGUUGCAGUUAAAAAGCUCGUAGUUGAAUUUCGGGAUUGACGUGAUGGUCAUGCCUUAAGGGGUAUGAGCUGUCACUGUUGAUUCUCACCUUCUGGAGAAACUUGAUGUCCUUUAUUGGGUGUCUUGCGGAUCCAGGACCUUUACCUUGAAAAAAUUAGAGUGUUUAAAGCAGGCAUUUUUGCUCGAAUACAUUAGCAUGGAAUAAUAGAAUAGGACGGCAUGGUUCUAUUUUGUUGGUUUCUAGGAUCACCGUAAUGAUUAAUAGGGAUAGUUGGGGGCAUUAGUAUUCAAUUGUCAGAGGUGAAAUUCUUGGAUUUAUUGAAGACUAACUACUGCGAAAGCAUUUGCCAAGGAUGUUUUCAUUAAUCAAGAACGAAAGUUAGGGGAUCGAAGACGAUCAGAUACCGUCGUAGUCUUAACCAUAAACUAUGCCGACUAGGAAUCAGACGAUGUUAAUUUUUUAAUGACUCGUUUGGCACCUUACGGGAAACCAAAGUGUUUGGGUUC